AGAGCGAACGCUGGCGGCAUGCUUAACACAUGCAAGUCGCACGGUCAGCAAUGGCAGUGGCGGACGGGUGAGUAACGCGUAGGUAUCUAUCCACGGGUGGGGGACAACGUCGGGAAACUGACGCUAAUACCGCAUGAUACCCGAGGGUCAAAGGCGCAAGUCGCCUGUGGAGGAGCCUGCGUACGAUUAGCUUGUUGGUGGGGUAAAGGCCUACCAAGGCGACGAUCGUUAGCUGGUCUGAGAGGAUGAUCAGCCACAUUGGGACUGAGACACGGCCCAAACUCCUACGGGAGGCAGCAGUGGGGAAUAUUGGACAAUGGGCGUAAGCCUGAUCCAGCAAUGCCGCGUGUGUGAAGAAGGUCUUCGGAUUGUAAAGCACUUUCGGCGGGGACGAUGAUGACGGUACCCGCAGAAGAAGCCCGGCUAACUUCGUGCCAGCAGCCGC
Molecule: ribosomal RNA, 445 nt
Filed under: uncultured bacterium
Lineage: Bacteria
Description: SSU rRNA
Rfam family: Bacterial small subunit ribosomal RNA
Source: RNAcentral